GGGCUUCAUUGGGAAGAGAGUUGCCAGCAGGUCAAGGAAGAUUUCUCAGUAAUCUGUACAGUUCUCUGCACUGGACUCCACCUUUUCAGAAUGAUGAAAGCAAUACUAAGGAAGAAACAGAAUAU
This is a non-coding RNA of Lonchura striata (white-rumped munia), 125 nucleotides long. NCBI's taxonomy places the organism in Eukaryota, Metazoa, Chordata, Aves, Passeriformes, Estrildidae. The record is from RefSeq and is a predicted model, not a curated record.